GAGCGUCGCAUGACGCUGGUUUGAAAGAUGGUUUCGGCUAUCGCUGAUAGAUGGGCCCGCGGUGCAUUAGCUAGUUGGUGGGGUAAUGGCUCACCAAGGCAACGAUGCAUAGCCGACCUGAGAGGGUGAUCGGCCACACUGGGACUGAGACACGGCCCAGACUCCUACGGGAGGCAGCAGUAGGGAAUCUUCCGCAAUGGACGAAAGUCUGACGGAGCAACGCCGCGUGUGUGAAGAAGGUUUUCGGAUCGUAAAGCACUGUUGUUAGAGAAGAACAAGGAUAAGAGUAACUGCUUGUCCCUUGACGGUAUCUAACCAGAAAGCCACGGCUAACUACGUGCCAGCAGCCGCGGUAAUACGUAGGUGGCAAGCGUUGUCCGGAUUUAUUGGGCGUAAAGCGAGCGCAGGCGGUUUCUUAAGUCUGAUGUGAAAGCCCCCGGCUUAACCGGGGAGGGUCAUUGGAAACUGAGAGACUUGAAUGCAGGAGAGGUAAGUGGAAUUCCACGUGUAGCGGUGAAAUGCGUAGAUAUGUGGAGGAACACCAGUGGCGAAGGCGGCUUACUGGCCUGUAAUUGACGCUGAGGCUCGAAAGCGUGGGGAGCAAACAGGAUUAGAUACCCUGGUAGUCCACGCCGUAAACGAUGAGUGCUAAGUGUUAGGGGGUUUCCGCCCCUUAGUGCUGCAGCUAACGCAUUAAGCACUCCGCCUGGGGAGUACGACCGCAAGGUUGAAACUCAAAGGAAUUGACGGGGGCCCGCACAAGUGGUGGAGCAUGUGGUUUAAUUCGAAGCAACGCGAAGAACCUUACCAGGUCUUGACAUCCUUUGACCACUCUGGAGACAGAGCUUUCCCUUCGGGGACAAAGUGACAGGUGGUGCAUGGUUGUCGUCAGCUCGUGUCGUGAGAUGUUGGGUUAAGUCCCGCAACGAGCGCAACCCUUGAUUUUAGUUGCCAGCAUUUAGUUGGGCACUCUAAAGUGACUGCCGGUGCAAGCCGGAGGAAGGUGGGGAUGACGUCAAAUCAUCAUGCCCCUUAUGACCUGGGCUACACACGUGCUACAAUGGAUAAUACAAAGGGUUGCCAAACCGCGAGGUCGAGCUAAUCCCAUAAAAUUAUUCUCAGUUCGGAUUGUAGGCUGCAACUCGCCUACAUGAAGCCGGAAUCACUAGUAAUCGUGGAUCAGCAUGCCACGGUGAAUACGUUCCCGGGCCUUGUACACACCGCCCGUCACACCACGAGAGUUUGUAACACCCGAAGUCGGUAGGGUAACCUUUAUGGAGCCAGCCGCCGAAGGUGGGACAGAUAAUUGGGGUGAAGUCGUAACAAGGUAGCCGUAUCGGAAGGUGCGGCUGGAUCACCUCCUUUCUAAGGAA
Molecule: ribosomal RNA, 1373 nt
Filed under: Listeria booriae
Lineage: Bacteria; Bacillati; Bacillota; Bacilli; Caryophanales; Listeriaceae
Description: bacterial SSU rRNA
Rfam family: Bacterial small subunit ribosomal RNA
Source: RNAcentral